Non-coding RNA from Schistosoma margrebowiei, 45 nucleotides. Lineage: Eukaryota; Metazoa; Platyhelminthes; Trematoda; Strigeidida; Schistosomatidae. The record is from Rfam.
AUCCAGCUGACAAGUCACAAAUAGGACGAAACGCGCGCCCUGUAU